Parus major (Great Tit) is the source of this 1210-nucleotide long non-coding RNA. RefSeq lists it as uncharacterized. NCBI's taxonomy places the organism in Eukaryota, Metazoa, Chordata, Aves, Passeriformes, Paridae. The transcript is spliced from 7 exons. The record is from RefSeq and is a predicted model, not a curated record.
AGCGCGGAGCGGGCCCCGCCUGCCCGGGGGCUCUGGGGAGCCUCGCCCGACCCCCGAGGCCUCGCGGGGGAUGAGCCGGCACCUUCACGGAGAUGCGAGGGUUUUUAUGUCUUGCUUAGAAUUCCACACAAAAUAACACCCCAUCGGAGAGAAAUCUUACAGGAAAAAGAUAUCUUGUGGAAAAAAGCCCCACAGGAUCAGUUAAGUUGGGAAAGGCCUCAGAGAUCAUCCAACCUAUUAGCCAACAGCAUCCUGUCAGCCAGAGCGUGGCACUGAGGGCCGCGCCCGGACUUCCCUUAAACACCUGCAGGGGUGGUGACUCCACCGCCUCCCCGAAAAGCCCAUUCAAUAUCGAAUCACCCUUUCGGUGAAGGAAUUCCUCCUAAUGUCCAACGCGGCCCAGCACAUUAUUGUCUUCUACUCUAAUGAGACCCUGUUAAUUCCCAAAUGAUCUUGUCCUUAUUCAGAGGCACGGUGAGCACCUCACAGGCGUCGGGUCCAGGACCAGACAGGAAAGUGCUGAGCGUCAUUUCACAGAGGAAUCGGUGAACAUAGAAACUGUACCAUGCUUUCUCAGCUGUAUAACUCAUGGAAAUCAGUGAGAUGCUGCCCUUGCGUUUUAAUCAAGAUGAACUUGAAAGGUGAACAUUCGUAUCAACAAUGGAGGAUAUAAUUUGGAAGAUGAAAUGUGAAGAUACAAGUACUAUGCUCACAUGCUGAAGUUUCCUCAGCUGGAGGGAAUUCUGGUGGAAAUUGGGAAUAAUGCUGGAUUACUGUUUUCACACAAAAUGGAUAAGAAGAUUUUUCUCUUUUUUUUGAAAUCCUGAUUUUAAAUGAAUAUGGUUUUCGGGAGGCUCUGAACCAUCAUGUUCUCCUAACCAGGGUGCUGGGGCAUAGAAACAGUGGCAGUCAGGUGCAGCUGCAUCUGGAAAGAAGCAGAACAGACCCUUAAAGCUCAGCCUUCUCUUCAUACCUGGGUGAUGUUAAAGACUGCAAUACAGUUAAAAAGAUGCAGUUAAAAAAACCCCAACAACCUCUGUUUGUAUUCAUUUUUAAGCCUUGCUUAUGCUCUGAUACUACAAAGCACUGAACACCUCAGGCAUUUGCUCUUGCUGGAAGAAUGGUACCUGGUGGCCUGGACCUUUGAUUUGAUCAGUCUGAGGUAUGUCAACAAAAAAUUAACUUUGACUCAAAGGGUCGUAUUCUAUGA